UGUGGCCACCCAAGUACCUGAUGUGAAUGCUCUUCCGAGAUAUUCGUUCAUUGAGAAUCAUGGGUGCCUUGUGGAUGCCAAGGCUACGGCUUCCAGCUCGCGCUUCAUGCCUCGAUCCCAGGAAUACAAGAUCCAGUUCCAGCUGGAGGCCUUCAUGUUCCAGGAAGGAUACAGUCCUUCUAUCUACAUGACGUGUAUUCUGAAGGCCACUCUCGCUUCUGCACCCAGUGAUGCUCUCCGCAAAUCCUGUUCCUUUGCCAAUGGGUGGUUUGCUGCUGAUGGGAACCACCAGGCUUGUGGUUGCUGUGACU
Molecule: long non-coding RNA, 311 nt
Organism: Sinocyclocheilus anshuiensis
Lineage: Eukaryota; Metazoa; Chordata; Actinopteri; Cypriniformes; Cyprinidae
Exons: 4
Source: RefSeq, a predicted model, not a curated record